UUAAUAUAUUUUAAAAUUUGCGGCGGAUGGCCUUCUCAGACAACUGAUUUGUUCAAAAGUUUGAUAUUGGACCCUUCCCCAGACACCUCAACCCGAAAUGCCAUGAAGGGCAGGGCUGGCAGCAGUGGCCACUGAUCUGGGGAAGCAACAUGGGAGUGUACACAUGGAUGUGUUUGGCUUGGGAGUCCGAUUGGACAUCCCAGACAUAUGUAAUGAUCCUUCCGCAGGUUCACCUACGGAAA
RNAcentral lists this unclassified non-coding RNA (242 nucleotides) under uncultured fungus. RNAcentral's name for it is "sequence contains ITS1". Lineage: Eukaryota; Fungi. The record is from RNAcentral.